This 253-nucleotide ribosomal RNA is filed under the name uncultured bacterium. Its description in RNAcentral is "partial 16S ribosomal RNA". It matches the Rfam family "Bacterial small subunit ribosomal RNA", at positions 524 to 776 of the family's 1533-position model. The record is from RNAcentral.
UACAGAGGGUGCAAGCGUUAAUCGGAAUUACUGGGCGUAAAGCGCGCGUAGGUGGAUAAGUAAGUUGGAUGUGAAAUCCCCGGGCUCAACCUGGGAACUGCAUUCAAAACUGCUUUUCUAGAGUAUGGUAGAGGGAAGUGGAAUUUCCGGUGUAGCGGUGAAAUGCGUAGAUAUCGGAAGGAACACCAGUGGCGAAGGCGACUUCCUGGACUAAUACUGACACUGAGGUGCGAAAGCGUGGGGAGCAAACAGG